Molecule: long non-coding RNA, 2196 nt
Organism: Taeniopygia guttata (zebra finch)
Lineage: Eukaryota; Metazoa; Chordata; Aves; Passeriformes; Estrildidae
Source: Ensembl
CAGCUUCAGUUUCACUUUAAAAUGUGUUGUGUAAAAGGCCCCCAGUUAACAAGCCAAGAAUCCUGAGCUGCUUAGGUUUUAGCAAUUAUUUUUUACUCUAGAAACCUCUUCAGAAUAGAUGUUUGGCAUACAUGUAAAAUAGCUUAAUACUGCAGAAAGGGGCAUUUUUGUUCACAUAACAACAGCAUUUCCAUUUAUAUGUUUUGCUGUAAAAGUCCCUAGAUAUAUUCCAGAACAAUGCAGCAUUUUAUCAUUCAAUAUAUUGCUUCACGUAGCAGUGGCUAUUUACAAUAGGAUCAGUAUUAAAGUAUUUAUUUCACUAUGAAGUGUUAAAAAAGAAUAAUACAAACCAGGUUGAAUCAAUGGUGCCUUAUGACUUUUUUAGUCAACUUUUCUGUGUCUCAAUAGAAGAAUUAAUAGACAUUGCUCUUCCAGGUCCUAACUAAAUAGUGCUGACAGUAGCAUUUUACAGUGUUUGAGCCGAGCCCUUCUGUUGCUGUGUGCUCAGUCUGCUAACUCCAGGUGGAGCUCAGCCUAUGGAGAUGCCACUGGAUCAGUGUCUAGGUGAGGUGUAUGUGGGCACUGGUUGGCUUCACAAUCAAUUGCUGGUAUUGCUCUCAAAAUUCAGACCUGUCCCAAAACCCGUGUCUGAUGCUGCUGUCCACACAGCCCAGCUGACUUCAGUCAGUGUAAUUGUAUAGGUUACAGAAGUAAAUAUGAUUCACUGCUUGCAUAUAAGAUUUGCUGGGUUUGUUUCAAUGGCAUUGUCUUAUAAACCUUCACACCUCAACCUAUCUUCUUACGUUACCACUGAGGCUUGCACUGUGUGACAACGGCCAUGGAUGUUCGUUUUUGUUUAAUUCAACUCCAUAAAUAAAAUGAGAAUAACUUUUGUACCAUGUAAAAAUAAUUUCGCCUCUGUAUUUUUGGAAGAAAAGCACAUGUUAUGCUUGUUAUGACUUUCUGCACCAGCCAUUGGGAAAAGAGGUCCCAGUGAUGAAUCUUCGGAGUUGUUAAAGGAAAGUCAGCUUGUGAUUCAGGAAGUGUAUAUUUCUAUAAAUGAAAUAAAAUAAUAUGGCAAAGUUCUUGUUUAAAAGCCAGCAUUUUCCAACACUAAAAGAAUCAUAAGGUUUGUUUUUAAUUUUCUGCAAGACAGCACUGUGGAAGAAGUUCCUUAUAUUGUCAGUUAAAAACUGGGCAGUAGUUUCUCCUUGCAGCAUCAGCUGUUUGCAUGACACUUGUAAAAGUAGAUCUGUCUUGGAGCAGGGGAUAAAGGAGCUAAACUGCUAUCAUGCAUCACAUGUAUUAAGUAGAAAAGGUACUUUUUGCCUUGGAGGUAAAGAAAGGAGUUGAGUGAUCAAACAGAUUAUUUUAAGCAGAAUGUCAAAUGUUGAAAGACCUAGAGAAGGCCUUUUGGCCACAGGACGCUGGAAAAGAGAAAAUUGCUCAAGGAAAUAAAAGCCAUUUGGCUGAAUGUCAUUACCAGAACUGGAGUGAAAAAUACGGUAUAAAAUGUGCAUUUUGGAGUUCCACAUGGCAGUGGUGUGAACACCUUCGUCUCACAGCUGAGUGCAACAACCUGUUACAGCGGUACAUGGACUCCAUGGAACACAGAUUGUGUGAGCUUUCAUCUUUCAAACAGUAUUCAUCAGAAAAUAAGGAGAAUCUCUCACCUAAGAUACUCAGGAGCACUUUAAGUGCAAAUUCAUGGAAUGGUUCUUCAUGUACACUGGAGGGAUCUUCUAGCCUGUAAGAUGGUUGUGUUUGGACCAUUCAGUUAAAAUCUAAACUGGAGCAUUGGCAAAGAGGGGAGGAUUGGAAUAACUUGGGCAGAAGCAGGUCAUGUGUGUAUGGUCCCAGUGAGUAUGCAGCAGGUGGGUAUGCAGAUUUAGAAAGCAAAAAUGGAAACUGUAUAUCUUAAGGGAGUAACCUUGUAUGUAUGUUGCCAUUUUGAAAUACAGUUUUCUGUGGUAAAUAUUUUUUACUGUAAACUAAUGCGUGCAGAGGAAGACUUCUUAAUUUGGACUUCCAAAGCCACGCAAGAGGGAGGGAAACAUAAAACAGGCUGAGCAAAAAGUAACAUUUCUAUCCAAUGCUUAAAGUUUGAGCUUUUUAUAAAAUAUUAAUCUAGUUCUGUGAAUUUUUUUGCUUAACAUUUAUUUUGUAAGUGAUUUUGUUCUUAUUUUUCUGUCCUAU